This is a non-coding RNA of Nothobranchius furzeri (turquoise killifish), 2375 nucleotides long. The record is from RefSeq and is a predicted model, not a curated record. NCBI's taxonomy places the organism in Eukaryota, Metazoa, Chordata, Actinopteri, Cyprinodontiformes, Nothobranchiidae.
AUGGCGGUGGUGGGAAUCUCCUAUUUUUUUCUAAAAAACAUCACUUGACAUGGACAUUAAGUAUAUAUGUUGAUUGAGUGGUAUACGCCAUUUAUUUGUAAAGCAAUCACAUUUAUGUCAUGGUCCGUGGUGAGCUGCCUGCCUGUAACCCUGUUUUCUUUUGAGCUAUGUCCACAGGUGGGCGUGUCUGAGAGCUACCAGCUGCAGCUGAUCCCGUCAUCAAGGCCCAGGGGAUUUAAGGAGCAGUGUGACACUUGACCACGCCGGAUGAUUACUCAGUUUGGGUUUCGCUCCACAUUCCAUCAUCUCCAGAACCAACCCGGACUCCUGCACUCCAGACCACACUGCCUCCUCCUCUGGCCGCCCGUUCUCAGCUGCUCACUUGCCCUCAUCAACCUCCGCUCCUACAUCACCUCUGGAUAAAACAGUUUUUCACCUUCUGGAUCUCCUCUGCUCACCCGGACUUGACCAAAGCUCUCCCUGUGCAUUCUACCGCUACCAGAAAAUGAACCUCCUCCUGGAAUCCUGCUACCAGGGCAGAGCAUCUUCUUUUCCCGUCACUCCUUUUUAGCUCCUCAUUUAAAAUAAAACCUUUUACACACUUACCUGCUUCCGUGAGUGAUUCUGCAUGUCGUGGGUCAAGAAAUUGCCACCCAACAUGACAAUUUAGGGGUUUUUUUCUCCUUCAAGUGCUCUCCUCUAUGGCAAGCCAAAUGAGCAUUUAUUCUGAUAUCAGGAUAUCAGCCAGAAUUGUCAUGAACAUGUAAGCCAUUUCUGUCCACUAGUUAACUAGUUAGCCAUGUUUGUGUCAACUAGUUAAAUAGUGACAGCCUAAAUGUCAACUAGUUAACUAGUAAGGCCUAAAUUCUCUCUAGUUAACUAGUUAAAAUGUUUCAUAUCUUACUAGUUAACUAGUAUUGCUCAGUGUGUUCACUAGUUAACUAGUGGACAGAUCAAUGUCCACUAGUUAACUAGUUAAAACACAUUUAGUUUUUACUAGUCAACUAGUAAGGUACAAAAACUCGUACUAGCUGACUACUGAAUGUAAAAAUCCCACUUGUUAACUUUGCCCAAUUUGGCCAGCCGCUUGAGCAUUAAUUCUGAUAUCUUGUCAACAGGUCAACUAGUUAACUAGUGAGGGUAAAACUGAACACGCUAGUUAACUAGUGAACACAUUUUGACCUUCACUAGUUAACUAGUUGACACAAAAAUGGCUCAUUAGUUAACUAGUAAAGGCCAAAAUGCAUACCAGUCAGCUAGUUGAAGGUAUUUGUGUCUCACUAGUUAACUAGUCAGGGUCAAAAUGAGCCCACCAGUUAACUAGUGGGAGACGGAAAUGUUCACUAGUUAACUAGUGACCACAUUUUGGCUUCACUAGUUAACUAGGUGACACAAAAUGGCUCACUAGUUAACUAGUAAAGGCCAAAAUGCAUACCAGUCAGCUAGUUGAAGGUUUUUGUGUCUCACUAGUUAACUAGUGAUGGCCAAAAUGUGCACACCAGUUAACUAGUGACAGAAGAAAUGCCCACUAGUUGACUAGUGAACACAUUUUGGCUUCCUAGUUAACUAGGUGACACAAAAAUGGCUCACUAGUUAACUAGUAAGGGCUAAAAUGCAUACCAGUCAGCUAGUUGAAGGUUUUUGUGUCUCACUGGUUAACUAGUGACAGUUCAAAGUGUCCACAUGUUCACUAGUGAACGCAAAACUCCUAACUAGUUAAGUAGUUGGAGUAGGGCAGUGCCACUAGUUAACUAGUGAACCAUUAAUGACUCACUAGCUAGCUAGUUGAUUGUAGCAGGCUCACUAGUUACCUAGUUGAUGCAUCCAUUGUCCAAACUAGUUAACUAGUGAGGACAUAAAUGUAUACUAGUAAACUAGUUCAAGCCUACAUUCACACUAGCUAGCUAGUUGCACAGAAUUCUAAUUAGGAGGCAGAGAAUUUCUCAAAUUGAGGCUUUCUAUUGGCUCACUAUGUUAAAAUAAAAUAUGACAACCAAUCACAGUGCGGAAUUUUGCAAAAUCCCACCCCAAACAUUUGCAUGCGGCACACAAGUUAACAUGCUGGCCAGAGGAACCUCAGCUAGUAAACUAGUAGUGGCUUCAGUGUGACACUUACAUGUAAACUUGUGAAGGCGGAACUGCUCACUAGUUAACUAGAGAGGGUACAAAUGUCCACUAGUUAACUAGUGAGGUGCAAAAUAAGUGUCACUAGUUCACUAGUGGGCCCCAAAACGCCCACAAGUUAACUAGUAAGGUGUGGAUAUGCUCACUAGUUAACUAGUGAGGUGCAGAUUUGCUCACUAGUUAACUAGUGCACCCUUAAGCGCCCACUAGUUAACUAGUAAGGUGCAAAAAAGCAUCACUAGUUAACUAGU